Molecule: ribosomal RNA, 725 nt
Filed under: uncultured archaeon
Lineage: Archaea
Description: bacterial SSU rRNA
Rfam family: Archaeal small subunit ribosomal RNA
Source: RNAcentral
GCCCAAUCCAGGUUUGUUGGUAAGGUAAAUGCCUCNCCAAGCCUUUUACCGGUCCGGCCCGUGGAACCGGAAGCCCGAAAAUGGGCAUUUAGCCAAGGGCCCAGGCCUUACGGGGCGCAGCAGUCGCGAAAACUUUUGCAAUAAGCGAAAGCUUGACAGGGCUAUCCCGACUGCCAUCCGCUGAGAAAGGCUUUUACCCAGUCUAGAACGCUGGGGGAAUAAGAAGAGGGCAAGUCUGGUGUCAGCCGCCGCGGUAAUACCAGCUCUCCGAGUGGUGUGGAUGUUUAUUGGGCCUAAAGCAUCCGUAGCUGGCUAAGUUAGUCCCCUGUUAAAUCCACCGAAUUAAUCGUUGGAUUGCGGGGGAUACUGCUUGGCUAGGGGACGAGAGAGGCAGACGGUAUUUCCGGGGUAGGGGUGAAAUCCUAUAAUCCCGGGAAGACCACCAGUGGCGAAGGCUGUCCGCUAGAACGCGCCCGACGGUGAGGGAUGAAAGCUGGGGGAGCGAACCGGAUUAGAUACCCGGGUAGUCCCAGCUGUAAACGAUGCAGACUAGGUGUUUGGACGGCCACGUGCCGUUCUAGUGCCGCAGGGAAGCUGUUAAGUCUGCCGCCUGGGGAGUACGAUCGCAAGAUUGAAACUUAAAGGAAUUGGCGGGGGAGCACAAGGGCGAAUUCCAGCACACUGGCGGCCGUUACUAGUGGAUCCAAGCUCGGUACCAAGCUUCG